ACUUAAAUAGCUUAUAUUUAGAGCAUAAUAUUGAAGAUAUUAGGGAGUAAUUAAUUACCUUAAGUA
RNAcentral lists this transfer RNA (66 nucleotides) under Aulacochilus grouvellei. RNAcentral's name for it is "tRNA-Phe". The record is from RNAcentral. Lineage: Eukaryota; Metazoa; Arthropoda; Insecta; Coleoptera; Erotylidae.